Molecule: ribosomal RNA, 497 nt
Filed under: uncultured bacterium
Lineage: Bacteria
Description: partial 16S ribosomal RNA
Rfam family: Bacterial small subunit ribosomal RNA
Source: RNAcentral
AAUGAACGCUGGCGGCAUGCCUAACACAUGCAAGUCGAACGGACGCACGGGGAGCUCGCUCCCCUCACGUUGGCGGCGGGCGGGUGAGUAAUACGUAUAUAACCUACCUAUAAGACUGGGGUAACUACGGGAAACCGGAUCUAAUACCGGAUAAUAUGUUGAACGGGAGGGUGCAAUAGUGCUAGACAGUUUGGCUGACACUUUGAGAUGGAUCCGCGCCGGAUUAGCUAGUUGGUAAGGUAACGGCUCACCAAGGCGACGAUCCGUAGCUGACCUGAGAGGGUGAUCGGCCACACUGGAACUGAGACACGGUCCAGACUCCUACGGGAGGCAGCAGUGGGGAAUAUUGGACAAUGGGCGCAAGCCUGAUGCAGCAAUGCCGCGUGAGUGAAGAAGGCCUUCGGGUUGUAAAGCCCUUUUGUUAGGGAAGAAAAACGGUGGGUUAAUACCCGUACGUUUUGACGGUACCCAAAGAAUAAGCACCGGCUAACUUCGUG